Molecule: ribosomal RNA, 462 nt
Filed under: uncultured bacterium
Lineage: Bacteria
Description: partial 16S ribosomal RNA
Rfam family: Bacterial small subunit ribosomal RNA
Source: RNAcentral
UCCUCCCUCUGGCUUCGUGCUUAACACAUGCAAGUCGAGCGGUAAGGCCUUUCGGGGUACACGAGCGGCGAACGGGUGAGUAACACGUGGGUGAUCUGCCCUGCACUUCGGGAUAAGCCUGGGAAACUGGGUCUAAUACCGGAUAUGACCUCCUAUCGCAUGGUGGGUGGUGGAAAGAUUUAUCGGUGCAGGAUGGGCCCGCGGCCUAUCAGCUUGUUGGUGGGGUAAUGGCCUACCAAGGCGACGACGGGUAGCCGACCUGAGAGGGUGACCGGCCACACUGGGACUGAGACACGGCCCAGACUCCUACGGGAGGCAGCAGUGGGGAAUAUUGCACAAUGGGCGAAAGCCUGAUGCAGCGACGCCGCGUGAGGGAUGACGGCCUUCGGGUUGUAAACCUCUUUCAGCAGGGACGAAGCGCAAGUGACGGUACCUGCAGAAGAAGCACCGGCUAACUACGUG